GACGAACGCUGGCGGCGUGCUUAACACAUGCAAGUCGAACGGAAAGGCCCUGCUUUUGUGGGGUGCUCGAGUGGCGAACGGGUGAGUAACACGUGAGUAACCUGCCCUUGACUUUGGGAUAACUUCAGGAAACUGGGGCUAAUACCGGAUAGGAGCUCCUGCUGCAUGGUGGGGGUUGGAAAGUUUCGGCGGUUGGGGAUGGACUCGCGGCUUAUCAGCUUGUUGGUGGGGUAGUGGCUUACCAAGGCUUUGACGGGUAGCCGGCCUGGGAGGGUGACCGGCCACAUUGGGACUGAGAUACGGCCCAGACUCCUACGGGAGGCAGCAGUGGGGAAUAUUGCACAAUGGGCGGAAGCCUGAUGCAGCAACGCCGCGUGCGGGAUGACGGCCUUUGGGUUGUAAACCGCUUUCGCCUGUGACGAAGCGUGAGUGACGGUAAUGGGUAAAGAAGCACCGGCUAACUACGUG
RNAcentral lists this ribosomal RNA (468 nucleotides) under uncultured bacterium. Its description in RNAcentral is "partial 16S ribosomal RNA". It matches the Rfam family "Bacterial small subunit ribosomal RNA", at positions 28 to 507 of the family's 1533-position model. The record is from RNAcentral.